GUCUUUGAACAAACCACCCACAAUGUGCCCGAUCUCGUCAGAUCUCAGAAGGCUAAGCAGAGUUGAGCCUGCGUGGGACUUGGAUGGGCGACCACCACCACCACACUUACAACUAUC
Molecule: ribosomal RNA, 117 nt
Filed under: Petromyzon marinus (sea lamprey)
Lineage: Eukaryota; Metazoa; Chordata; Hyperoartia; Petromyzontiformes; Petromyzontidae
Source: RNAcentral